GCGUCCUUAGUUCAGUUGGUAGAACGUCGGUCUCCAAAACCGAAUGUCAGGGGUUCGAGUCCUCUAGGGCGCG
This 73-nucleotide transfer RNA is filed under the name Cyanobacteria bacterium GSL.Bin1. RNAcentral describes it as "tRNA-Trp". It matches the Rfam family "tRNA". From Rfam's summary of the family: Transfer RNA (tRNA) molecules are approximately 80 nucleotides in length. Their secondary structure includes four short double-helical elements and three loops (D, anti-codon, and T loops). Further hydrogen bonds mediate the characteristic L-shaped molecular structure. tRNAs have two regions of fundamental functional importance: the anti-codon, which is responsible for specific mRNA codon recognition, and the 3' end, to which the tRNAs corresponding amino acid is attached (by aminoacyl-tRNA synthetases). tRNAs cope with the degeneracy of the genetic code in two manners: having more than one tRNA (with a specific anti-codon) for a particular amino acid; and 'wobble' base-pairing, i.e. permitting non-standard base-pairing at the 3rd anti-codon position. The record is from RNAcentral. Lineage: Bacteria; Bacillati; Cyanobacteriota. RNAcentral also lists the same sequence under 5 other names.